Molecule: ribosomal RNA, 756 nt
Filed under: uncultured bacterium
Lineage: Bacteria
Description: bacterial SSU rRNA
Rfam family: Bacterial small subunit ribosomal RNA
Source: RNAcentral
AGAGUUUGAUCAUGGCUCAGAAUCAACGCUGGCGGCGCGCUUAACACAUGCAAGUCGAACGAGAAAGGGGAGCAAUCCCUGAGUAAAGUGGCGUACGGGUGAGUAACACGUGGAUCAUCUACCCUCUUGUGGGGAAUACCGCUGGGAAACCGGCGACAAUACCGCAUAAGCUCGAGAGAGGAAAGCCGAAAGGCGCUGGAGGAGGAGUCCGCGGUCGAUUAGUUAGUUGGCAGGGUAAAAGCCUACCAAGACUGUGAUCGAUAGCCGGCCUGAGAGGGCACACGGCCACACUGGCACUGAAACACGGGCCAGACUCCUACGGGAGGCAGCAGUGGGGAAUCUUGCACAAUGGGGGCAACCCUGAUGCAGCGACGCCGCGUGAGUGAUGAAGCCCUUCGGGGCGUAAAGCUCUUUCGGCAGGGACGAUUAUGACGGUACCUGCAGAAGCAGCUGCGGCUAACUACGUGCCAGCAGCCGCGGUAAUACGUAGGCAGCAAGCGUUGUUCGGAGUUACUGGGCGUAAAGGGUGCGUAGGCGGCUUUUUAAGUUUGGUGUGAAAUCUCCUGGCUUAACCGGGAGGGUGCGCCGAAUACUGAGAAGCUAGAGUAUGGGAGAGGAAAGUGGAAUUCCUGGUGUAGCGGUGAAAUGCGUAGAUAUCAGGAGGAACACCUGUGGUGUAGACGGCUUUCUGGACCAUAACUGACGCUGAGGCACGAAAGCGUGGGUAGCAAACAGGAUUAGAUACCCUAGUAGUCC